AACGCAUUAGGGUUUGUCGCUGCUUUUUUUAAGCAGAGGAAAGUCCGGACAUCACAGAGCACCAUGCUUCCUAACAGGAAGGUACUGCGAGGAGGACGCAGUAACAGCAAGUGCCACAGAAAAUAACCGUCCCGACAUGUCGGGGUAAGGGUGAAAAUGUGAGGUAAGAGCUCACAACACAGCCAAGUGAUUGGUUGUGUGGGUAAACCUCAUGGGAUGAAAGACCAAAUAAACCGAGGCUUGAGGGCUGCUCGUCCAAUCUCGGAGGGUAGGUUGAUGGAGGCAAAUGGCGACAUUUGUCCUAGAGAAAUGACAAACAUUCCGAUUCUUCGGAAUACAGAAUCCGGCUUAUACUUUUGCGUUACAA
This 367-nucleotide RNase P RNA is filed under the name Bacteroidales bacterium. RNAcentral's name for it is "RNase P RNA component class A". It matches the Rfam family "Bacterial RNase P class A". From Rfam's summary of the family: Ribonuclease P (RNase P) is a ubiquitous endoribonuclease, found in archaea, bacteria and eukarya as well as chloroplasts and mitochondria. Its best characterised activity is the generation of mature 5'-ends of tRNAs by cleaving the 5'-leader elements of precursor-tRNAs. Lineage: Bacteria; Pseudomonadati; Bacteroidota; Bacteroidia; Bacteroidales. The record is from RNAcentral.